GAAGUGCGAUAAGCAAUGCGAAUUGCAGAACCGUGAGUCAUCAGAUUUUUGAACGCAACUGGCGCCGGCUGGUCCUCCAGUCGGCAUGCUUGUUUCAGUGUCUCGUUCUCUCCUCACCCAAAUCAUAAUGCGGGAGAUGCCCUUCUCCUGCCAAGCGCGAAAGCACUCUGUGCCCUGCAAGCGGCCUCCGGGUCGCGCUCAAUGCAGCAGUCACAUUGCUCACAGUGUGAACUCGUUGAGAGCAGGGGCAGCGCAGCUCCGGCUGCCAGGGCUUAGACGCCCCACAACUUACCUGGCAUCUGAAAUCAAGCAGGACCACCCGCUGAACUUAA
Molecule: unclassified non-coding RNA, 332 nt
Filed under: uncultured fungus
Lineage: Eukaryota; Fungi
Description: sequence contains ITS1
Rfam family: 5.8S ribosomal RNA (bases 1-103)
Source: RNAcentral